Long non-coding RNA from Rattus norvegicus (Norway rat), 16387 nucleotides. RefSeq lists it as uncharacterized. Lineage: Eukaryota; Metazoa; Chordata; Mammalia; Rodentia; Muridae. The record is from RefSeq and is a predicted model, not a curated record.
CAGAACUCUACAUCUCUCUCUGCAACGUGCCCAAACCACAGACUCUCAGCAGCAGGAAGCCCACGUGCAUGGUAAACUGAGACCCAUCCCCCAUCCCUCUAGUAAACCUCCUUAACGGCCAUAGGGGUCUGCGACAACCAGGGAGAGAGAUGCCUGCCAAACUUGCCUGGGAUUCUCUCCCUGCUGGGUUCCUGCCCCAUCAGAUAGCUGAGGCUAUCUCACUCAUUUCUGCGAACAUGGUGCUAAGUGGACUUCAAAGAGGCAUCUGCGGGUAAAUUUUGCUCCCGAUCCUGUGAAAGCAGCUUGGGCACAGAGCUUACUGUAGAGUACAGGCUGCUGUGUGUUAAAUUAGACGUGCCUCCAGUCAAGACGUGGCUCUUCCACCUUAUCCACGGAUACAGCAUCUUUCGGUCAAACCGUGAAACCACUAAAACGGAGUCUUGCUGUCAUUCUUAUUUUGGAGAUCCUCGCUCUGAGACUGGGAGGACAGGCAUUGGAAGCGACUGCAGGCAUUAGCCCCUGACUGUGGUUAUUGGGGGAUGUAGGCAAACUUGAGAAUCAAUAUGGAAAGACGGACAUCGUGCCAUUAGCUCCUUCUACAGCUUUAUAAACCAUCUCAAAUUCAGAAGGAUUUGCGACCCCAAUAUGGCUUCCAAUUCAGAUUCCCAGCUAUAGGAUGAAAUGCCCACAAGGACAGAGAGCCGGAAUCGAGUCGUGGUGUGGAGAGAGCCCUGGGCUGCUCCAGCUUCAUCCUUUUUUUCGUCUGGAUUUGGUGUGAACUUCCUUUGCCAUUUUUCUAUUCUCUCCUUGUCAAAAGACAACAGUGAGAGGAAGCAGAAAACUCAAUUUCUGACCUUGUCUCUCUUCAGUCUAAACAAGAAAAUGUCUUAUUAAAAAAAAGAGAGAGAGAGGGAGAUGAUAUUUAAUUUUAUUGGGGAGAAGGAUCGUUGCAGGAGAGUGCUCGCGGCUAAAUGAGGCCAUCAAGAGACCAGAGCAUGCACAAAUAUGAAGUAAUAUCUCUCUACUCUGAGAGAAGCUGACACCCAAUUUCCUAAGCUUCAGGCAGGCAGCUCCAAGGCUGGAGGUAUCACAGCCUCCUUCUCCGAACCAUUUCUAAGGCUUCAACUCUGCUGCGAAAGCUAAAAAUGCAAAUGAAAUGGGGCCAUUUACAGAAAAACUAUCCCCGCUAACUGUGCUUCAGGAAAGAAAAAAAAAUCUACAGCUCCGAGGGCAAUCUUAGUCAAUGGGACUCACAGGCGAGACGGCGCUUUAGUCUGACAGAUAAUGUGCGCAGCACUUCUCCCUCGUGAGCUUAGAAGUAUUUAAAGAAAAAGGAAAAUCACCCUGUUAGAUUCAUUACUCUUCUGAAAAAAACUAUCUCGUUUUGCCUUCACUUCUGAUCUGACGAAGCGUUCUUCUAAAUGGGUGUUGCUGACAAUGUGCAAAGGUGCCUGGGUGCUUGGGGAGAGAAUGAAACUCUGCCUGUUCUUCUAGGAAAAGCCUUGCUUCUGUGGUCCUAGGUCCUAGGAGUCGGAUGCAAUUAGUUUUUGGGAAAGUGAGGUCAAGCGGGUAUGUCCUGAAGGAGACCACCUGACCCGCAUGGCUUUCCCUAGAGCCUGUGGGCUCCCAGACUCCACCAGUCCAUCGUUUCCUUGUGGGUUUCCUUGGGCAGCCUCCUUCUCCUGUUCUCUAGACCAGCUUUCUCAGCCUUUUCUCUCCUCCCCUUGCAUGCCUGGCUCUCACUAGUAAGCAUUUGCAGUAGUUUCCUUCUUUGCAGAGGACAUAGAAGCCAAGAGUGGGAUACCCUCUCCCCUUAACUCAUGGCUAUAAAACUUAACAAAUGGUCUCUGUGUCUCCAUGCGUCUUCUUCCCUUUCACUCAUCUUACCCAAGUGCCAGCUCUGCCCUGUUCAUCCAUUCCUCCACUUGUCCUCUGGAGUUUCCCUUCGCAGUUCCUUUAGAAGCUUGCUUGAUCGAUUCCUGUCCCCCACUUCCCUCCCUAUUGCUGUCUCUUACCCAGCCUCCUCUUCUCAAUUAUCUCUCUCUUUUUUUAUGAGCUUCAUUUUUUCUCUCUCAGAUUCUUCCUGACAGAACUUGGCUGUGCUAUAGCUUCUGUCUUCUCUCUGAAGCCUCUCUGGUUCUUAGCUCCCCUCAGCUGCACAUCUACACCAGUUUCCCAGUUUCCAUUCUUUCUCUGCUUAAAUGACCCUCAGCCCGCCACCAGUGAGGUUCCUGCUCUAAGGACAUAUUGUAAGCCAUACUGAAAAUUCUUUUUCCUUGGGUUUUCAUAGCCAUAGGCCGUGUCUUCAUCCCUCUUGAGGCUCCUGGGCAGCACCUCUGACUCUGCUCACUCCUGGAUUCUGGAUGGGCUCUGUCUGUCUGGUCUUACCUGGGCUUCUUCUCAGGUCAUCCCCAGAGUCCUAUGACUUACUUGUCUGCAAAGGCCCACAAGGAUCAUGUGGGCAGGUAGUAGAGUCCAUCAUGGGGAGCAGUUGAAAACAAAGUUGGCCAGCCAUAGUAGUGAAGAAGACUGAAACUGAGAAGUUAGCAAGACCUUGUCUCGGAGAGGUUGACAGUAGGCCAACAGUACUGAGUCUAGACUGUCGGGAUCAGCAAGAGCGAGUCCAGAGCUUUCCCCCUGCUAUAAAAUGAAAGAUGGCUGCCCCCAACCCCACAACUGGAUUCUACAUCUAUAGCUAUAGGAUCCGAUGGUGCCUAUGCUGUUGUUCCUGGCUGCAUCACGACAUCGCCAGGCUCUCCAGAAGCAGUGCUGCGUGAUUCUAUUCCUAACAAGAACGCACACUCUCACAGUGAACUGCUGACCUACUGUGUGACAGUUCCCCAUCACUGACACCAGCUCCCCGUAAACCCAUUAUUCCUCUGCCAGGUGGGGACAGGCAGGCAAGGGGAACUUACACAGGUGGAUGCUGACCACCAAGGUGGGCUGACAGCUGCUCUCAGUGCUGCAGCCUCACCCCGAUGCCUGCAGGGGUAGGCGCCGACUAGAGCUGGAGAGAAACAACACGUGAUGACCUAGUCUCAUCCCUCCGAGAGCCCACAGUUAAUGGAUCAGCUGACCGUUACUCUUUGAUCAGGGACUGAUUUGAAGCUAGCAUUGGUGAUGUGAAAGCUGCCUAAAUUUGAAGAAUCCAUCACAGACCACAGAACACUCCUGGGCGAGAUGCUUCCCUAGUCUUCUCGAGACUUCUGGGCCUUUGUAUGAGUGCUUCAUACAAUGUUUGUACAUAGUGGAUGUAAAAUGACUAUUUCCAGGAUAACAGCAAAGGGUCAUCGCCUAAAUGCCUAUAUUCUUCAUAUUUGAAUUCAAGCCAGGCUUUUCCUCUGUCUGGGCACAAUAGGCUCCAACACCAAGACUCAGAGAAAUAAGUCUCCAGGACAUUUGCUUUGGAAUUAUCUGGUUCUCCAAAACUAUGACUUAUUUUACGUCUUUUUUUUUUCAGAAUAUCUGAAAUAUUGUAGCCUUCGGUAUUGGUUUAUUUAACUAGGAAUACAUUGUUUUUAACUUCCCAUGAGGCAGCCAUCAAGAAGGUGAGGCUUCGGUGAAAACAAAGCACAGUGCAAUCAGACUACACAUUUGCUAUGUAAGAAUUUGAAGACUACCAUGGUUUCUGAUGACUUUGUUUGGCCCCAGGCUCUGAAAAAGCCCCAGACGCUUCUGUUCUGAGGUGUUGGCCUUUUUAUAGCAAGGGAGUGAGGCAGAGUGGGGAGGAGGGUAUGAGGUGGAGACAGUGCAGGGUCCAGCACUUGACUCUUCCCAUCCUGGCUCCUCAGAUUGUAUCUGCACUCAGAAAUGCCUUGAAAGCAUUCUGAAGUCUCAGUCAUGCUGAUUGCAGUAUGACUCAAAACUCUGAAGGUAGGAUGCACACAUGUGGGGUGUGCAGCUCACAGAACAGAGCCCAGGCACCAGUGUUUCAUAUAGACCACACCUGUUUGUCCACAGAUGCAGAUUCAUGGCUGUGGAUGCAUUUGCCCUCCACAGGAGCAUUAUGAGGGUGGUCACGGACACUGCCAUUUACAGAACCAGAAACAUUAAAUGGCUGCAUCCAGCCUUAAACAUCUGGCUACCUUGUCAUCCUAGCGUCCUGUUCUCCAAGCCAGGGCUCUUUCCACAUAUUUGCAGAUUACCCAUUCAGGUUGGGGCAGCAGAAUACAUACUGGCCCAUGGAUGCACGUGGAGGCCCUAAAAACAAGGAGCUAGGGUUUCAGGACCCUCCAGAUAGGCUGCGAAGAUAGAGAAAGCCUGUCAAUGCUGCCAGUGGACAUAGACAUGGGCCUACGGCUUGCUGAGCGCCAUGUUAAUUCCAUUCCACCCUGGGAGAUUCAGCAGAGAAGCCCAAGGCUCUUCUAUCCACUUGGAGUUUGGGGAAAACUCAGAGCAAACGGGCGCAUAAAACAAACUUCCCUAGACUUGUCAGACAGGCGCCAUAAAAGGUUAAGAACUUAUGUGUCACAUAGAGGGAAGCCAUGCAGUGGGGAUCAUCCGGCAGUGGGCUUGUUUACAGCAUUUUCUUAUUUACUGCGGCUGUGCUCCCUAUUCGUCAGGCUGCAAUGGUAGUAGCUUUUAUGAGUAAGCAAAUUUUUAAUGAACUUGUUUCAGAUGUGUGCUCCAUUCUUGGAACGCUCUGUUCUCUGAGGCAGCUCUGUAAUUAUUGCCUUGAGUAGGAUAGCCAGACUCUAUCUGGUGUUUAUGUAAGCAAUUUCCUUUUUUCAGCUUUAAAUAAGUGAGGUGAGGGGGUGAAAAAAAAACCUCUACUGGUUACUGGUAGUUUUUGUUCAGCUUGUCAUAUGCUACUAGAAGCUAUGCAUUCAUUCUCUGUGUGUGCGUGUGUACACACACACACAUUCAAAGGGGCAUGUACAUGUGCUUGUAAACCCAUGUGGAGGCCAGAGGAUGAGUUUAGGUUUUCUUUUAUAGUUGCUGUCAAUCUCUCUCUCUCUCUCUCUCUCUCUCUCUCUCUCUCUCUCUCUCUUUCUCUCUUUCUCUCUCUCCCUCCCUCCCUUCUUUCCUUCCUGUCUUUCUUUCUUUCUUUUUUGGGGAUGGUGGGGUCGGGGGACAGACUGGCCUGUAGCUUGUCAAGCAGGCUAGGCUGACUGGUUAUCCAGUCUCAGGGUUCUGCUUGGCUCCAUCUCCCUCCCCCAAGUACAAACUGUGGUUUCCAGCACAUACCUCCACACUGACCUUUGUUUCAUUUUUACAUGGGAUCUUAAGAUUAAACUCAGUUCUUCAUGCUUGCAGGGCAAACGCACUUUUUUUUUGGCUGGGCUAUGUCACCAGCCCUUGUAUCUUCUAAUGUUUUCCUAAUAGCCCCCAUUUUACAGGUGAAGAGACUCCUGAGAGAAGUUAGCAGGCAGAAAGUGGUGGGGAUGUGAUCACACGCCCCUUGGACGCCUGGGUUCUGACUCUUCUGCAUGGAGCAGACUGGGAGGCCCGUUCAGGUUAUAUAGUCCUAAGGAGAGCUGUUGUUGGGAGGGUGGUGCAGUCAUUCCUGUUGGUGAGCUCUUUGCCAAGGGUUGCUUCAUGUGAGGGGCAGAGUCUUUAAUGCCUUUGGCACGAGGUAAUUAGAACCAAUUUUCUGGUCUUUCGCUUUUGUAAAGGGGAAUAGCAAGACGCAGGCCAAGCCUUUCACCAUGCUGUCUUAACGAACCAUUUCACCAUUGUUCCAAAGCUCAAAACUCAUUGUUUAAGGAGCCUCAGUUUUGCAAGCUAUUUGCUACUACCCUAUUCAAGCUGAGCCCUUCCCAGCCUGGACCCAGGCCUAUCCCUUCCACCCUCUCCUGCAUGCUGCACACAAGUAGAGACAGGGAUGAAAAGAUCUUCCUCUGUGCCAUCUGCAAUUGGAGGAAUGGAACAUCCAGCCUGCUUAAACUAGCUUCCAGCUCCUCCACCAGGCUGCUCUGUGGCUUUAGGCCAGUAACCCAACCUCUCUGAGUCUGUGUGGACUCAUUAGUGAAUGGGAAAUAGUAAUAAGAAAAACGUGUCCAGUAGCCUUAUUCUGGGGAUUAAUAAAAUGAGACAUGUAAAAUGGAGAGCUUCAUUAUUGCUCCAUCAGCUUUUAUUGAACCCCAGGUUUGAAUAUGGAGAGCUGCUAUCAAACUGUUCCUAGUAUUUUGUCUAAGUUUUAGCCAGUUUGCCAGGUACGCCGCAGACGGGCUACCUCCAGAAUGCUGCUUCUGACGGUGGAGUUAUUUUUGGAGAUUUUAUGGUUAUUUAUUUGUUCGAUUAUUGAUUCGUUUGCACUCACAUUUGCCACUGUGUGAGUCCGAGUGUGCAUUGUGCCAAGGAGCUGGCGUGGAGGUCUGAAGAUGACUUUCAGGAGAGGAUUCUCUUGCUUUCGUCUGUUUGCAUGCUCCAUUCUCCGUGCUAGUUGGUCAGGGAGGUCCCAGGCAACUCUCCUGUCUCAAUCUCCCCUGCCAUCUAUAAGUGCUGGUGUCACAGUGUGUGCCGCCUCCCGGGCCUCACAUUCUUCCUUGGUGCAUAAGCCUUUCUCACACCCAUGGCCUCUGGCUGGCACUGGGUCCCCAACGCUCCACAUGGGCUACUCUGACACACAGACCUUUACGCUUCGAUUAUGACAGAGCCAAGUCCAUUACAGAGAUGGGGACAUUUGCUCAGUUUGAACCAUAAAUGAGUUUGUUUCCCUCCAAUUAGUUGGAAAAUCAAACUUGAUCUACUCAGAGGGGCAGAUUUUUGGCCUCAGCUGAUACAUCAAUGCCUGACCUCUGUGCAAUAGAAGGGGAGCGCUCUCUAGAAAGGUCUGGGCUGUCUAAUAGCAAUGCCCUCUACUUGAGCCUAAGUCGGGUGGCCAAGGAUGAUUAGACAGCCCUUCUUGGGAGGUAAAGAUGUCACGAGAAGCCAGUAUAUAAGUCAGCUAUGGUGCCUGCUUAUCUGGGGCUCUCCUUUUUCCUCUGUGCAAAGCUAGGCUGUUCUAGUUGAACUUCAAGAAUGCUCCAGAUCACCAUGUCCUCAGGGUGGUGGCGGCUGUGGACUGCGCCCCACCCCCAUCCACAGGCCGUUCAUCUGUUCCAGCUUGUGGCCUGCCCUUGCUAGCCUGCCUGGCAAUGCUGUACUUUUUUUUCCCUCCCAUAUAUUUAUUUAUUCACUCUACAUCCCAAUAUCAGCCCUCCUCCUCUCGGUCCUUCCCCUUCCUCGAUUCCCCUGGGACAUCGCACAAUCCCUCUACCCUGUCUCCUGCCCUCUUAGGUCCCUCCCCUUCCCUGUUUUUCUUUCUUCCAUUUUCCUCCUUUGCACCCUCUCUGGCCUGUGUUCUCUCUAGGCUUUGGUGUCUCUCUUUUCUUCACCAUCGUAUCCCUGGCCUUCUUCCUUGCCUCCUUUUCUGCCUCUGAUACCAGUUUAUAAUAUCUUGAAAGAGCGUGUGGUAGCGUCUGCCUGACCCUGCCUGACGUGUGCACAGGAGCGACUCUCGGGCAGUGUUUGAUGUGGUCUGUGUGUGGCUGAUGAAAGCUUCUCAAGCUGUGUUGAUGGAGAGCUGGGUCCACAGCCUCCCUGGAACGGGGCUCUUUUCCUCUUUUCAUCAGAAACAAAUCCAAAUUACCAGAUAAAGCCAGGCCUUUUUCAUUUCUUCACCAUGCUCAUAGAUCCCUUGAUGUCUGUGAGAGGAGAAUCACAUCCUAGAAUCCUCCUCUCAAAAGAAAUCCUCCUUCCCAAAAAUCCUUAUGACAGGGACCUGAACCGGCAGAGGACAUACCUGUGACAGCCUGACCAAUCCGAAAUGAGACAUAUAGAUUUGAAUCUGUGUACAAUAAUGCGAAAUACGCAGACUCAGAAUCUGGCGAUAGAUCCCAGAGACCUAGACACUCUGUGAGUGUCUCUGCAAGAUACUACAAGGGGAAGGAGAUUCACUCUUCCUGCUGCUUCUGGUUCUGGAAGGAAUAUGGUUUAGGAUCCCUCUAGCACAGAGCACCCUGGAACCCAAUUGUACACCCUUCGCCAGCCAGGUCUCCUACAUCUGCUUCUGUUUCUCAGCCUAAGAAGACAAUGUAUCUCCUGUACUACAUGGCUGCUGGAAGGAGUGAUUGACAGAAUUAACUAUAGAGCUUCUUUCUAGUUCCGGCUGCCUGACUCUGAGAGUGUAAACUUUAGUUACGGGGACACCGCUUUGGCAAAAAGGUGGACUUUCAUGUUAGGACACACCUGAGCUUAAGUGCAGAUUUGGACAAUCUUGAAUUGAGUGUUCUCUAAUAAACUUUUAAGAUUUGUAUUUCUACCCCCAACAGCCUUGCUAGGAGAUAAUUUACAUCUUACAGAAUUCUGACAUUGUAAGAGUACGGUUCAAUGAUUUUUAGUAAAUGUAUGCUCCUGCCCCCACCACUGCUGAAUCCAAUUUUAGCUAUUUUCUUUCUCCAUAUUAAAACUGGAAUCACGAGACAGUUGGAUUGUGAAACUGAGCACAGUCUUGCAAGCCCCUGAAGUUCCCUCCAUACAGAUUGGAAUUGAUUUCCCUGGCCCUUGAACUCGGGGCUGGCCUGGUGACUCAUUCUUGCCAGUCAAGUGCUGGCUGUUAGUCUAGUGGGUUCCGAGCCCAGUUGUCUAGAGGUUAUGGGUGUUUCCACUGUCUGUGAAGCCCCAUUGUCUUCACUGUGAGUGUAAACUGGCCAGAUGCUGGAUUACAAACAGCAAUGUGAGCAUAGGCUGCCCAGAGUUAGGCCAUCUCAGGUUAGCUUCUUCCUCCUCUCCAGCUGAGCACCAUGGGAACACAUCCUCACAGUGAGCCCACAGGAAAGGUUAGAAGGUAGUUGCUUUAGUCUCUAACUUUUAGGAUGGUUUAUAAAAUGUCAUUAUGAUAAUAGCUGAUAAUGGAUCAUCGAUAGGACCGGGAUUUUGAAAAGCUGAGCGAACAUUUAGCACUCUUUUUCCCACAAGAGGCAUUCACAGUACCCAGAAAUGCAGUUUGAUGAACACUGUGGGUGCCUCCAAUGUGAGAAGCACUGUUUGGGCUUGCCAGGGAGUCAGAGUCGAAACAGAGAUUGAAUAAGCGAUUGGGUCAUUUGCACUGGGAAGAACAGGCACACAGACUGUAAUGCAGGAUAGCAAACUUCUAUAUGGGAAAUCUUUAUGUUGGAGUUGUUUUUCCAUUGUCUGAAAAUAGCCAUAUCCUUUCCUCAGCGUGACCCAAAAUGUGUUCCAGGGUUAUUGACCUCCCCACACACACAGCGUAUUGGCUAAGGUCUCAUAUUACCGGUUUGUUCAAACACUCGGUUAUUUAUAGGGAACUGAUAGUUUGGUCAAGUGCAGUGCUUCAAAGAUACAGAAAUGCAGACAGGACGCAGAUCCGUUGUUGGGGAGGAGCACGAAGUGGGGUGGGCAGACAUGUGGUGGGAAGUCUUAACUUCAGAACUGACUGCAAACCUUAAUUCAGAAGAUUUUGGAAGAACAGGGCAUUGUAUCUGAAUAUUUUAGAGCUGGGAGAAGAGGAGCAAGUAGUUGGUGACUGAGAGCCCCUGACAGCAGAAUUUUUGUGAUGGUUUUACCUUAUGCAAGUUCUUGUAACAAAUCUAUCUUCCUCAGGAAGCAAGCUUUCUGGAGGAGUCUAACUGCACCAUGCCAUGAUCUUGGGAGUCACCAGAUCUGCAGAGCCCUUGCCUUGUGUGACCAUAGAUAGAUGGACCGUCACCUUCCCUUGGUAGCCACUUGACCUUGGUUUGUAUCAAGUUGACUGUGGAAACUAACUUUAACACACACGGACUGAAACAGUACACCAGUUUUAAUUCAUUUUGGACUUCACUACGGCAGCUGGCACACAAGAUAAAAGACCAGAAAUAUUUUGGAUUACAGGGAAGUGGACUCUUUCAUUUUUCUAUGAUUGUUGUGUUUUGUUUCUAUUUGUCCGGAAGACCCAGGAGGAAGAAUCAUUGGUUAUUGGCUGCUGCUAUUAGGUUUUCAGUUGUGGGAUAUAGCUUGAUAUUUUAUUAAACAACAGCAAAACAGCAGCAACAGCAGCAGCAACAGCACCCAAAACCAUCAACUCAGUGACGAAUUAUGAGUCCAAGGGACCUGGCUUCACAUGAGUCAACUUGAGUUUUGCCUCUGUGUGAAGUUGGUAAAGUUACUUUGCUUCUCCAAGCCUCAGCUUUCUCAUCUAGAAGACAAGGAUGAGGAGGCCCAUUGGCCUCAUAGGGCAGUGUGCAGCUCUAAUGUGGGACUAGGUUUAAAGCUUCACUGUAGCGACUGGCCGUAGCGAAUGUGUCUGGAUUCAUUGCUGUAUGAUGGGUAGUGCUCUUUGGACAAAUUUCUUCUGUCUAUAAUAUUGGUUGGGUUUGAUACAUCUAAAACAGUGGUCCUCAAUGUGUGGGUUAUGACCUCAAAUUUUAGAUAUCCUUCAUAUUAGAUAGUUAUAUUACACAAUUCACAACAGUAGCAAAAUCACGGUAAUGAAGUAGUAACAAAAUAAUUUUACAGUUGAGGGGGUCACCACAACACGAGGAACCGUGUGAAAGGCUCGCAGCUUUAAGAAGGUUGAGAACCAACCUUUUAUCCCUACAGGAAUAAAAAGGAGAAAAAGGAGUUUGUUUGCCUCAGGUGUUGCACCAUGUCCAUCCAUCGAUUUGGUUCUGGUUCCGUGCGGUAUGCUCCUGAUGACGUUGUGGCCAAGCAUUUAUGCCUCUGUUAACAGUCGUUCAGGUAGCUGCUUUGGUGUGAAAACUGAAGAUUGAAGUUUAUAGAUUGAACCUCAAAUUACUCCUAGCAGCCCAAAUUGCUGGAUAGAAAUCUAAUCUCAUAAAUAUUGGGGAAAUAUUCCAAUUUCCAGAAGCUGGUAAUAAACCUCAAAGCUGAGAGUCAAGGUGGAAACCCCUUCUUUGGAAAUGUUCCAGAAAAGACAAGGUGUGGAUGGGGAAGCUUGCCAGAGGCUCAGAUCUUGGUAUUCCAACCAUCUUUUAUAUUGAAGUGGGAUAGAGUGGCAGCAGAAAUGUAGGUUUGGCUGUCCUUUUGGGCAUUUGGCAUAUCAGCUAAACACUUGGGUGAAUGGGUGCUGAGUGAAGGUGGGGAGCAGGUAAGUGAUGAUCCAAGCAGCCACUGCUUUUGUUAGUACCCUCAAAAAAGCAGCAGAGCGCAGCUCCAGAGAAACACCCAGAAAAGGGAGCAGCAUUUGUAACCUGUGUGGGUGUGGGGUGGAGGAAUUCACUGCUGACAAAGGAUGCUUUUCUUCCAGAAGCCGACUUUACCGUCUGUUGACAUGCGCUGCAUCCAAAUUGGAUGGACAGCCCUCUCUUAGAGAUGCUUUGAGUGAAACAUUCACUGCAGACCCUGGAAUUGUUCAAAAUAUUAAGAUAAACAUUGUUUCUUUGCAGCGAAUACAGACGGUGACAGAAAAACACAUAUAUAGAAACAUGAGGAAUGAUUGAAGUCUUUAAAAAUCCACCAAAGAGUACCAAUUAGGCCUUUGCUGCUCUAAUUCCAUGUUGUCAUUUUGAAACACAGUUCAGAAUGGCAUACAAACAAUUUAAUUCUCACUUUUUAAAUAUAACAAUUAAGCAAAAGCAUUUCCACAUGGUUUAAAAUGUUCAUAAACAAUAGGGAUGGCAUUAUAACAUCCUGUUUACUUCUGUACGUGGUUCUACUAAACCAUCGCAGCAUUGACACACCAGCGCUUCAGUGUGUCAGACACCAAUCUGUAAGAUUUAUAUUUGUAAGUUCAUCUGUUUCUCCAAAUCACAGUGUGAGGCUUGUGCUAUUGAUAAACUCAUUUACAGGGAGGACCCUGGAGGGUAGUCCGUUGCUAGAGGUCACUCAGCUGCCAAGUGACAGGGAUGAGAUUUGAACCAAUGCAGUUGGUGCUUCAAGGGCUUUUGGCAGGACUCUCCCACUAUUCAGGUGCUCUAUUCUCAUAGAUGGUCAGAAUACUCUUUCUUCUUUACAGAGAAUUUCCAUGAAGGAGGUCUCACUUCUUUGUUACAUUCAGGAGUUAGUGCCUUCAGCCCCGGUUGGCUCCUGGAGGAUGGUUACGGUGGCUACUGGUCACAUAAGACUCAGGAUUCUGGGGCCAAUACUGACAUGAAAGCUCCCACUGUAGGUAACAGAAUCAGCAUUAGAACCUCUUUCUGAUUGCUCUCUAGUCUUUUCCUUUCUAUUUUCACACACACACACACAACACACACACAACACACACACAAUACACACACACACACACACACACACACACACACACACACACACACACACACCAAAACAUCUUUCUAAUGAAGAAAGACAAUGAAAUCUUUUAAAAGGUCAGUGUCUAGACAGUGUCAUCGCUGGUAGAGAUGGGGACUUAUUAAUUAUAGCAGAUUAUCUUCUGCCCAUUUCCAUGUUUAUGGCUUGGCUUAGAAAGCCUUGGGUUUUUCCAGAAGCCUUUUAAGUGUCAAGAAGGCACAUCGUAUCCCUUUUGUAUUGGUCCUUAAGAGGAGGAUUCUGCAUCUGAAGGGUGAGGUGUAAGAGUGGCUCAUCUGUUUCUAGACUUCUCAGCAUAGAGGUACACUUUUUCCUGGGACUCUGCUCCUCUAAACUCAACCUUGACCUAACAGGAAAUACCCCUCCCACUCCUACUCCCUAAUGCUUCAUCGUGCUAAACCAUCCCCGACCUUAUCUCCAGGGGAAUUCUACUUUGACAGGCAAACUACUAGGUUUCCCUGGGGCCCAGAUAGAUUUCCAGGAGUAGACCUCUAGCAAUGAGUGAAAAGUAGAGGUGAGGAUACAGGUUCCCUAUAAAAGGUCUGAGACUCUAUCCCAGGGCGGUAGGAUAGAAGAACUGGGCGAGGAAAACCAGUUCACGCUGGUGGCUAACUGGAGGGCCUCACAUAAGAUUUCAAAACUUGGUUCUCAGUUGGUGUUGUAUGAGAGAGAGACGAUUAGAUUCGAAGGGCCUAAUCUCAUCAAUGAAUUAAUCUAUUGACAACUUCAUAGCUAAAUGACUAUUAGUGAGGGACACUAGUUGGGUGAAGUGGGUCGCUGAGGUGUGUCCCUUUAAAGGGCCUUCCUUGUUCCUAGCCCCUCAUGUAUUGCAUGUCUUGCUCUCUCAGACUAAACCACUGUAGGGUGAGUGGUUUUGUUUUAUCAAGUGUCCCUCAGAUGCUCAACCUCACUUUGUGCUCAGAAACAAUGUAAUAGACUGACAGAUUUCUGAAACCACGAGACAUACAAACCUUUCCCCCCCUUCAGUUGUUUUCCUUGGGCAUUUCGUCACAGUGAUGGAAACCUCGUUAGCACCAUGGCAGAAGAAUUCAAAUCACUUAGGGUACGUGAGUAAUACUGAGAGUCACAGGAACAGAAAGGCAGCUUUGUGGAAUGUUUACUGUGGGACUGUGAACCAGGCCGUUGAGAGUUUUACUGUCCUUUGAUCAAAAUAAGAUUCUCUGAAACAUGACAGAAGUUGGAAUCCUUUGAAUGUUGAUGUUGCAAUGGGGAUGAAGUUCUCAGAUGAAAUUAAGACAUAUAUUUCCCUGAACAUUAAAUUUGACUUCAUAGAUGUGUGUGGGAAUAGAGGGAUUUCUCUUUAUUGUACCAAUCCUGAGGCAGGUAAGGGUAGUGUUUGUGCAACUGCAGGGGUCAGUCAUUCAUGGAAUCUGUCAGACCUGAGAGAUUUACUUCUGUCCCACAUCUGUGUGCUACCCUAAUGAUCUCCUGCUGGCCUCCCUGGACCUGGUUUUCAUGUGUCCAGUUUGUGAUACUUCAGACAUGCAUGUCUGAGAGAAAGAUAAAGCCCUGCAUCUUGGCCAGCUUGGCCAAACAUAGCAACCCAUGAGCCAGGAAGUAAGAAUUUGAUAUUCCCCUUUCAAACUAGCUCCUAUGAAGAAGCAUGCACAUGCUGAGCUAGAGGCUCCCAGUGAAGAGUCACCAACAAAUAAACGGAAUAUCUGGAUGCAGGUGAGUCAGCUGCACAAGCAGAGCCAGGAACUCUGCAGGAAGGUGGUUAGCUCUGGUGAGAGCCCAUCAAUGGCCCAUAAAUACUCUUUCAGUAUCUGCAGCUUUCUGUGGCACACAGGCCUUUGUGGAACACUGUGGAUGCCACCAGAGCUAGGGUAAUACUUGUGGUCAUGUGAGGACAGAGGCACAGACAGCCACUGAGUGAGUUGAUGAAGUUUGGGCAACACAGUUUAUUCUAUUUCUGGGCUUCCUUUCCACACAGCUCAGGGAAAGCUGUCGUUAUUUCGCUGAGUGAGAUGAGGGAGAAGAAACAAGUUAAGUGUCAGCUGCACAGUGUAGUCUUGAAGAAGGUUGGCAGGAGCCAGCAGCCAUCCCAGCUGUACCAAUGACACUCCAGUUCUCCCAUUUGGAUUCAGGCUUCAGCAGAUAGACUGUUUGCCACGUGUCUGCCUUUCCUGGCUCAUGUUUCCCAACAGCCACAGAUAACUUGGAUGAAGUUAUUAGUGGAUCUGAUUGUCUACCUUCAACAUCAUACAUAAACAUGCAUGCUUAUCUGUGUGGCUUUCUGGCCACCACUGAGAAUAGGUAGUGAGAAGGUCGUUAUUAUCUAGCCAAAUAUGUCUUUCUGAAGCUAUGUGGCUUCUUGACUUGGGUCUGUUGGCAUGAAUUCCUCACAGGCUUUCAGAUGUGUCAAUUUUAGCAUGGAAUUCUUGGCGGAUUUGUCAGGCAGUGAAUAAAUCAGAGGUCCAUACCCUGACUAUUAAGGAGAAUAGGAGGCUAAUUACCAAGAUUUCAAGCUCAUUAACAAAGCCAAAAGCCACAGAAUCUGAGGUAAAGGGCACACACACUCGCUGUUAGGGGGACCUUAUUGGUGGGAGGUGAACUUUGCUCCAAGGACUUGGUAGCAUGUUUUAAGACUGGGGCAGGGUCUGCAAACAUACACAUACAUCUCUACCAGGACUUUCAACUUCAGAGCAGGCUCCUUGGCACCUUGGCAUUAUCAUGGGGAUAUUGGGGUGCAAACCUGUCCUUGCAAAGGCCAUGCUUUUGGAAGACCGUGUGAAAACCCAACAGGUCCCUAUUUGGGAUGGGUAAUUAUGGAGGCCAGACUCACAGGACCUGAGGUAAGCUUUCCGUUAUCCCUUGCUUUCAUGUGCAUUUGAAGGAGAAACUGAAGUUGCAUAGCAACCAACACAUUUCUAGAUCAUGAGGGGCUCUCCAAGGCACCGAUGACAGAGACUGCCCAAUGGGAACUAGGUUGAGACAGGAGGAUGCCACUCUCCUGAAUGCUUAAGGCAGGUGCUGGACAUCUGUGUCUCUGCUGGAUCCCAUGUCUCCCAGAAGGUUCAAUCAGAAGCUAGGCUUUAAACCUCACCCCUGAGUCUCAGCAUAAUUACAGGGAGGGUGUGCUUUUAAGCCAGGGACAGGAGAAUGGCUUUUAAAGAGGGAAGGUGAGGUUUCUCAAUUUAGUUUACUUGAAAUUCCUCGUGAAGAGUUUCAGAUUCUAAAAUGGAGUGUAGCUGGCGUUUGCUUAAGUUUAGGGGAUGGUGUAGCUUUCUUGGUCUCUGAAAAAGAAUAAAAACUACCCCAGACUCCCACCAGCCAAUUUCAUAGCAACAUUUGCAGUGACGAGGAUGAAUCUGAGCCAGCGAUGGAACAUUUGUGGAAUGCAUGGGGGACUGGAAACCAAGCUGAGAAGUGUUCCUCAUUUGAGACUUUAGAAUACUGUUAGGGCCCUCCUUCCCCACCCCCACCGCCAGCAGUUGAUGGCUUGUGUACAGCUGCUGUUUGCUUGUCUCUGAAACAAUGAAUUCUGAGCCCACAAUGAAGCACACAUCCAGAGAAGCUUUACAUUCCUCUGAAAAGAAUACCUUUCCCUUCCUCCCUUUGUGAUGAAAGAAUCACGUAGGGGUUAGGCCAUGCGAUGUGGGAUUUUUGAUUUUAAAUCAUUUCUGACAUAGUUCUAAGAUAAAGGCUCCGGAGAAAGGGACCCUUGCAGUCAGUGAGACACAGCCUCACUGCCUGGCGGCAGCGCCAGAGAAAAAUCAGGAAGAAAGCUUUGGAAUCCUUCCAGUCUCUCCUUUUCUGUUUACAUGGUGGCUAUCGAUUCUCCAAAGAGGAUUCACACUCUGAGCAGCAAGGAGCUAUGUUUAUGUUAAUGCGAACACUCGAUACCUCCUCACUGAGAACAAUAAGGCCCAUCUAUCCACACACCUCCAUUUAACUGGACUGAUCACGGAGACGGGCCGGUGUGAGUACCUAGAACAGGAGAGCUUUGGAAGGGAACCAACUCAGAGUGCAAACUGAGAAACUGAGACUUGGGUUCUCAGGUUGGGGCGCAGAUCUCUGCCAGUUAUAUGUGAGCUCUCCCAGGGGUGUAUUAGAUGCUGUUGGCUCAGGUGCGCCACCUAAUGCCAGGACUCCGCUAUCACCGCUGGCAUUUCUGAGCUCUGUGGUGUUGGUGGUGGUGGUGGGUUGAUAACAUUAAGAGGGGAAUUAGGAGCUAGUA